Molecule: non-coding RNA, 31 nt
Filed under: Homo sapiens (human)
Lineage: Eukaryota; Metazoa; Chordata; Mammalia; Primates; Hominidae
Source: RNAcentral
UGACUGUUGACUUUCGGUAUGCCUCUGGACC